UCCGUUGUAGUCUAGGUGGUUAGGAUGCUCGGCUCUCACUCGAGAGACCCGGGUUUCCCGGCAACGGAA
This is a transfer RNA of Nicotiana attenuata, 69 nucleotides long. It matches the Rfam family "tRNA". Rfam says of the family: Transfer RNA (tRNA) molecules are approximately 80 nucleotides in length. Their secondary structure includes four short double-helical elements and three loops (D, anti-codon, and T loops). Further hydrogen bonds mediate the characteristic L-shaped molecular structure. tRNAs have two regions of fundamental functional importance: the anti-codon, which is responsible for specific mRNA codon recognition, and the 3' end, to which the tRNAs corresponding amino acid is attached (by aminoacyl-tRNA synthetases). tRNAs cope with the degeneracy of the genetic code in two manners: having more than one tRNA (with a specific anti-codon) for a particular amino acid; and 'wobble' base-pairing, i.e. permitting non-standard base-pairing at the 3rd anti-codon position. Lineage: Eukaryota; Viridiplantae; Streptophyta; Magnoliopsida; Solanales; Solanaceae. The record is from Rfam.